This 260-nucleotide ribosomal RNA is filed under the name uncultured bacterium. RNAcentral describes it as "partial 16S ribosomal RNA". It matches the Rfam family "Bacterial small subunit ribosomal RNA", at positions 524 to 776 of the family's 1533-position model. The record is from RNAcentral.
UACGUAGGGGGCUAGCGUUGUCCGGAAUCAUUGGGCGUAAAGCGCGUGUAGGCGGUCCGGUAAGUCCGCUGUGGAAAGUCGGGGGCUCCAACCCUCGAAUGCCGGUGGAUACUGUCGGGCUAGAGUGCGGAAGAGGCGAGUGGGAAUUCCUGGUGAUAGCGGUGAAAUGACGCAGAUAUCAGGAGGAACACCAAUUGCGAAGGCAGCUCGCUGGGACGUAACUGACGCUGAGAACGCGGAAAGCGUGGGGAGCAAACAGG